CAGCAGCCGCGGGAAUACAGAGGGUGCGAGCGUUAAUCGGAUUUACUGGGCUUAAAGCGUGCGUAGGCGGCUUCUUAAGUCGGAUGUGAAAUCCCUGAGCUUAACUUAGGAAUUGCAUUCGAUACUGGGAAGCUAGAGUAUGGGAGAGGAUGGUAGAAUUCCAGGUGUAGCGGUGAAAUGCGUAGAGAUCUGGAGGAAUACCGAUGGCGAAGGCAGCCAUCUGGCCUAAUACUGACGCUGAGGUACGAAAGCAUGGGGAGCAAACAGGAUUAGAUACCCCCGUAGUCCCUGUCUCUUAUAA
RNAcentral lists this ribosomal RNA (301 nucleotides) under uncultured bacterium. RNAcentral's name for it is "partial 16S ribosomal RNA". It matches the Rfam family "Bacterial small subunit ribosomal RNA", at positions 509 to 809 of the family's 1533-position model. The record is from RNAcentral.